Molecule: long non-coding RNA, 1544 nt
Filed under: Lactuca sativa (garden lettuce)
Lineage: Eukaryota; Viridiplantae; Streptophyta; Magnoliopsida; Asterales; Asteraceae
Description: long non-coding RNA (LSAT_LNC009169)
Source: RNAcentral
UUUAGAGUAAAUUACAUAAAUGGUCCCUAUGAUUUUAAGUAGUUUUUACGUUUGAUCACUAACUUAUUUUUUUAUUCGUACGAUCCCUAUUUUAUGUUUUUGUUACGUCAUCCGCCGGUCCUGACCAACUUAAAAUGACUAAAUUACCCUAUUGUAUUUAUUUUGUAUUUUCUUUAAAAAAAAUUUCUUUUAUUGUUGGGUAAUUUACACGAAUGGUCACUGUGGUUUUGGGUAGUCUGCACGGUUGGUUCCUAGAAAAAAUUUUUAACUCGGAUCGUCCAUGCUGUUUGUGUUUGUUACGAUUUCGGUCCCCAACCAACAUGAAAAGACCACUAUACCCUUAUGCAUUAUUUUAACUUAUCGUUUAUUAAUAACUAAAUUAUUAUAAGAUUUUUUAUACGUGUGGGUCCCACUCGUUCUUUUCUUCCUCCUCAUUGCUUCAGGAACUUCAUCAUUGACACCCCCUCCUUCCCCAACCACCGUCCCAUGCCGUACACCUCUGUCCCUUUGUGUUUCCGAUGAUUACAUACACAACACAAGGCUUUGAAAACCAAACUGGAUUUCAAGCUCUAUUCUCAAACCUGCAAAUCAGAUAUCGUUUUAGGAGAUCAGAUCUUCAAACCUGCAAAUCCUACAUUCUCUCUGUCUAAUAGAUUCAACACCACCUCUAUCUUUGCCACCACUUCCAUUCAUCAUCGCCAACACAACCCGUCGUCUCUGCAACCUCCACCAAUGCACCCUAUGUCACCUGAACAUCGUCUAUCGUCACUGAAACUUGCAAAAACAACAGAAAAUAUUAUCGAAAAACUCUGCCACCUGCAGAUCUUGUAGUUUAGUCAAAUAAAUCAAAAUCCAAACAAUUUAGGGAAACUUGGAGAUUGAAGGAUUGCGAACAUAUCAUGAUUCAUGUGCAUCUCGAUCUCUCUCAUGUCCCCCUGUCGUAUGAGAAAUUGAAUCGAAUGAGUGGUGAGAAUCAAUUUUCAGAAAAUCCACCAACCAUCGAUAAUUUUGCAUUCGUCCUGCCCUUCGCUUUCAUUAGGUUUCAGAUUGGUUUAGUUCUCAACUGGGUUGAGUUUCAGAUCGGGUUAUCAAAUUGAAUGAUUGAGCAUGAACGGACGAUUGGAGAGGGUGUGAGGAUGAGAAAGAUCGGGUCACCGAAAUCUGGAACGGGAAAGAGACGAAGAGGGUGAGAGGCGGUGAAGCAUGAAGAACUGGGAGAAGGAGCGAAGCUUUAGGGUUUUUAUUCUUUAUUAUUUUAUUUUAUAUUGAUAUUAUAUAUAGUUUAUUUAUAAAUAAUGAGUAAAUAAAAAAUAUUAAAAUGGUUUAAAAAGUAUAAGAGCAUAAUAUUCAUUUUAGAAUGGAAAAGACCAAUCGUACAAUAAAAAUAUAAGAUAGGGAUGGUCCAAGUUAAAAAAAGUUAUUGGGGACCAAACACGAAGAUUACCUUAAACCAUAGGGACCAUUCGGUGUGAUUACAAGAAACUCAAUUCCACCCCAAAUAAGACCUACAUGUCUUCAUUCUCACUUUGGGCGUCGGUUUUUCU